UUACCGUGGGACUACUCAGCCAUUGGUUAGCACCGCAGUGGGCCCUGCCCACAGCAGCCAACUGUCAAAGAGUGACCGCUAGUGGUCCUAUUCAGCCAUUGGUUGGCACCUCAGUGGGCUCCACCCCCAAGCAGCCAACUGUCAGCGAGCAGCGGCUAGUGAGGGCAUUUUCAGCUAAUGGUCGGUGGAGUGGUAGUUGUCAAGCAGAGAAUGAGCCAGGACUGGACCUCGCAGGAUGAAAAACAGAGGAACAUUGGCGUGGUGGAGGUUUACAGGAAAGUCGCUAGCUGACUGUGACCUGACCUCAAGAACAAAAGCUCAGGCACCGAGAAGUUUACAACUCACCCCUCCCCUCCCUCACCUUUCCUAGAAAAGGGCCUCACUGAGAGUUUUCGAGGAAUUUGAGGUUUUUAAGGCUUGAGCCACCUGUCUUCUUGCACAGCCCUGAAUAAACCUUUCUCCUCCACUCUCCGA
Long non-coding RNA from Odocoileus virginianus texanus, 474 nucleotides. RefSeq lists it as uncharacterized. Lineage: Eukaryota; Metazoa; Chordata; Mammalia; Artiodactyla; Cervidae. The record is from RefSeq and is a predicted model, not a curated record.